UUAAGCGACUAAGCGUACACGGUGGAUGCCCUGGCAGUCAGAGGCGAUGAAGGACGUGCUAAUCUGCGAAAAGCGUCGGUAAGGUGAUAUGAACCGUUAUAACCGGCGAUGUCCGAAUGGGGAAACCCAGUGCAAUUCGUUGCACUAUCGUUAACUGAAUACAUAGGUUAACGAGGCGAACCGGGGGAACUGAAACAUCUAAGUACCCCGAGGAAAAGAAAUCAACCGAGAUUCCCCCAGUAGCGGCGAGCGAACGGGGAGCAGCCCAGAGUCUGAAUCAGCUUGUGUGUUAGUGGAACGGUCUGGAAAGUCCGACGGUACAGGGUGAUAGUCCCGUACACCAAAAUGCACAGGCUGUGAACUCGAAGAGUAGGGCGGGACACGUGGUAUCCUGUCUGAAUAUGGGGGGACCAUCCUCCAAGGCUAAAUACUCCUGACUGACCGAUAGUGAACCAGUACCGUGAGGGAAAGGCGAAAAGAACCCCGGCGAGGGGAGUGAAAAAGAACCUGAAACCGUGUACGUACAAGCAGUGGGAGCACCUUCGGGUGUGACUGCGUACCUUUUGUAUAAUGGGUCAGCGACUUAUAUUCUGUAGCAAGGUUAACCGUAUAGGGGAGCCGCAGGGAAACCGAGUCUUAACUGGGCGUUAAGUUGCAGGGUAUAGACCCGAAACCCGGUGAUCUAGCCAUGGGCAGGUUGAAGGUUGGGUAACACUAACUGGAGGACCGAACCGACUAAUGUUGAAAAAUUAGCGGAUGACUUGUGGCUGGGGGUGAAAGGCCAAUCAAACCGGGAGAUAGCUGGUUCUCCCCGAAAGCUAUUUAGGUAGCGCCUCGUGAAUUCAUCUUCGGGGGUAGAGCACUGUUUCGGCUAGGGGGUCAUCCCGACUUACCAACCCGAUGCAAACUACGAAUACCGAAGAAUGUUAUCACGGGAGACACACGGCGGGUGCUAACGUCCGUCGUGAAGAGGGAAACAACCCAGACCGCCAGCUAAGGUCCCAAAGUCAUGGUUAAGUGGGAAACGAUGUGGGAAGGCACAGACAGCCAGGAUGUUGGCUUAGAAGCAGCCAUCAUUUAAAGAAAGCGUAAUAGCUCACUGGUCGAGUCGGCCUGCGCGGAAGAUGUAACGGGGCUAAACCAUGCACCGAAGCUGCGGCAGCGACACUAUGUGUUGUUGGGUAGGGGAGCGUUCUGUAAGCCUGCGAAGGUGUGCUGUGAGGCAUGCUGGAGGUAUCAGAAGUGCGAAUGCUGACAUAAGUAACGAUAAAGCGGGUGAAAAGCCCGCUCGCCGGAAGACCAAGGGUUCCUGUCCAACGUUAAUCGGGGCAGGGUGAGUCGACCCCUAAGGCGAGGCCGAAAGGCGUAGUCGAUGGGAAACAGGUUAAUAUUCCUGUACUUGGUGUUACUGCGAAGGGGGGACGGAGAAGGCUAUGUUAGCCGGGCGACGGUUGUCCCGGUUUAAGCAUGUAGGCUGGUUGUCCAGGCAAAUCCGGAUAAUCAAGGCUGAGGUGUGAUGACGAGGCACUACGGUGCUGAAGUAACAAAUGCCCUGCUUCCAGGAAAAGCCUCUAAGCAUCAGGUAACAUCAAAUCGUACCCCAAACCGACACAGGUGGUCAGGUAGAGAAUACCAAGGCGCUUGAGAGAACUCGGGUGAAGGAACUAGGCAAAAUGGUGCCGUAACUUCGGGAGAAGGCACGCUGGUGUGUAGGUGAAGCCCCUGCGGGUGGAGCUGAGACCAGUCGAAGAUACCAGCUGGCUGCAACUGUUUAUUAAAAACACAGCACUGUGCAAACACGAAAGUGGACGUAUACGGUGUGACGCCUGCCCGGUGCCGGAAGGUUAAUUGAUGGGGUUAUCCGUAAGGAGAAGCUCUUGAUCGAAGCCCCGGUAAACGGCGGCCGUAACUAUAACGGUCCUAAGGUAGCGAAAUUCCUUGUCGGGUAAGUUCCGACCUGCACGAAUGGCGUAAUGAUGGCCAGGCUGUCUCCACCCGAGACUCAGUGAAAUUGAACUCGCUGUGAAGAUGCAGUGUACCCGCGGCAAGACGGAAAGACCCCGUGAACCUUUACUAUAGCUUGACACUGAACAUUGAGCCUUGAUGUGUAGGAUAGGUGGGAGGCUUUGAAGCGUGGACGCCAGUCUGCGUGGAGCCAACCUUGAAAUACCACCCUUUAAUGUUUGAUGUUCUAACGUUGGCCCCUUACCGGGGUUGCGGACAGUGUCUGGUGGGUAGUUUGACUGGGGCGGUCUCCUCCCAAAGCGUAACGGAGGAGCACGAAGGUUAGCUAAUCCUGGUCGGACAUCAGGAGGUUAGUGCAAUGGCAUAAGCUAGCUUGACUGCGAGCGUGACGGCGCGAGCAGGUGCGAAAGCAGGUCAUAGUGAUCCGGUGGUUCUGAAUGGAAGGGCCAUCGCUCAACGGAUAAAAGGUACUCCGGGGAUAACAGGCUGAUACCGCCCAAGAGUUCAUAUCGACGGCGGUGUUUGGCACCUCGAUGUCGGCUCAUCACAUCCUGGGGCUGAAGUAGGUCCCAAGGGUAUGGCUGUUCGCCAUUUAAAGUGGUACGCGAGCUGGGUUUAGAACGUCGUGAGACAGUUCGGUCCCUAUCUGCCGUGGGCGCUGGAGAAUUGAGGGGGGCUGCUCCUAGUACGAGAGGACCGGAGUGGACGCAUCACUGGUGUUCGGGUUGUCAUGCCAAUGGCACUGCCCGGUAGCUAAAUGCGGAAGAGAUAAGUGCUGAAAGCAUCUAAGCACGAAACUUGCCCCGAGAUGAGUUCUCCCUGAGACUUUAAGUCUCCUGAAGGAACGUUGAAGACGACGACGUUGAUAGGCCGGGUGUGUAAGCGCAGCGAUGCGUUGAGCUAACCGGUACUAAUGAACCGUGAGGCUUAACCUU
This 2900-nucleotide ribosomal RNA is filed under the name Klebsiella pneumoniae. Its description in RNAcentral is "bacterial LSU rRNA". It matches the Rfam family "Bacterial large subunit ribosomal RNA". The record is from RNAcentral. Lineage: Bacteria; Pseudomonadati; Pseudomonadota; Gammaproteobacteria; Enterobacterales; Enterobacteriaceae.